ACUUGAAAUGGAAAAUUGCUUAUAACUAGUGCAAUGGAGGAUUCUGCUGAACAAAUAAGGCACGGACGUGUCCGCUGGAUGUUCUGCGAUUCGUUUCAUGACAUUUUCUGCUGCCCAGGCAUGUGAAUAAUUGAAUAAAUCCUGUAAAUAAUAACGAACGAUUGAAGUCAAUCGAAGUCUGUGCCGUUUGAUCCAAACAGCAAGGAGUGAGGACGAUGUCUCUGUGUUAUCUUGAAGCGGAUGACAGCACAAAUUUGAUUCGUAGUAACAUGAUAUCUGUCAACAUCGGAGAUUAUUGAUAUGUGUCCGUUGCCCGUAAAAAGGAUGAGAUCCGUGGCGCAGACUUAGGAUCCUAAAUCUGUGUUCGUGGACAAUGGAUUAAGUAAUUACGCCGUCAGACAACGAUGGUGAUCUAUUCGAACGCUACGGAAGCAUCGAGUCAAUCGUUGAGUGCAUAAGAUGUUGUGCUACGAUGGGAAAAUUAGUUUACUUUGUUUCAUUGUGGCCGGGAUAGUGGCGAGUCUGCCAGGCGUCCUUUUGAGGUUAGAGCUCGACGUUUACCGGCUCUACUUCAGCAACGUCUGGCUUCUGCAUUUAUUUCAGUAUGCACUGUUGAAUUUCAUACUGCUAUUUGCAUUUCGAGACUUCACUUACAAGGUUGCGACUAGAGCAGUGUUCUUGGGCUAUGCGUAUGGAAUUGGCCUGUUAAUAGCUCUGAUCUUGCCAUCCUCGUGGCAGAUGUUCGGUGUCUACAUUAUUGUACUAGCUACAUUUCAUUACUCCGAGUUCCUGAGCAUAGCAUGGAUAAAUCCUAGCACUCUGUCUAUAGGCAGCUUCAUUCUAAAUCACAGCAUAGCCUACGGAGUGGCAGCAUGCUCCAGUUGGGUAGAGUUUAUCGUGGAGAGAGAGUAUUUCCCAGGAAUGAAGGAACCCUCCUGCAUAUCCUACUUCGGCUUAGUACUUUGCAUCGGUGGAGAAGUGUUGAGGAAGAUGGCCAUGUUCACGGCAAAGCAAAAUUUUAACCAUAUUGUACAGAGUGAGAAGAACGACAACCAUGAACUAGUCACGUACGGAGUGUACAAGCUCUGCAGACAUCCCAGCUAUGUGGGGUGGUUCUACUGGUCCAUUGGGACACAGCUGAUACUCCAGAACCCAUUUUGCUUACUGGCCUAUGCGAUAGCGUCCUGGAAGUUCUUCCAUUCGCGUAUCCUGCUCGAGGAGAUCACGCUGCUGUACUUCUUCGGGCAAGACUACGCCGAUUACCAGAAGUCAGUCGGCACGGGGCUGCCGUUCAUAUCCGGUUACAAAACCAAUUUAUAGCAGCCGAUCGCAGUCUAAAUGCAUAAAUAACGGGCGUGCCCGAUACAAAUCGCGUUAGAACUAGCAACGAACCUUACUAGCACCGAUCCUUAACGUUAAAUACGAUUCUUCCUCUUGAUCACCGCCGCUGCUCGUGGUUAACCCUCGCUGGAAUCAAUUCACCAGUUUCCUUAGACUCUCCCAAGUGGAACAGUAUACGUUUCGAUCGAAUUGCAAGUGUUCAAACAUUCUGAAACGAUUCAUAAAGAACCAAGAGACGAUGCACGAAACAUGAUACAGAAAACCGAGCGUGCACCGGUCCCUUCGAAAAUUAUUUAAACAAGCUCAAACGCCGCCGAUGUUACAAAAAUAUAUACCGUUGUAUUCGGGAAAGUCCGAGGAACAAUUCAACGUAGGAAUGGACCUUGUAGCUUCUCUAGUUGAACCAGAAAAAAUUCUCGAAUGUGGAGGGUUAACUAAGAGUCGCGAGCGGUUUCCAAUCGUUGGUCCAGGCAUGAUCUCUCGACAGACAAGAAACGAUUAGCUUACUGGCGAUGAUUGUGCAUUCCGUGUGUUGAUCUCCGCCGCUUCCUCGGGGGUUCUCGAUGGUUACAAAGGCUAAGUUAAUUAAGUAAUGAAAGGGCAAAGUGUCCGUUCGCCCUUUCGCUUACAAGAGAAUUCGUUGAAGCGUGAUGAGGAUGCAACUUUUACUCGUUAAUGAACGAUCCUGACGCGUUCUAUCGGGGGACUAAGGAUUCGAUGGCAGUGAGAGAACUUAUAUACGUGAACCGAUACGCUUAUCUGGUUUGACGGUGAUCGGCCGCACUGUGCUUGGCAGUCGAGAAGCAAAGUACGUAUCGCGAAACAAACGAAUUCCCCUAACUCAGAAACUGAAUUGGCGCCGUAGUGCUCGCGGCGCCUUGGAAACAAAACUUGUACAAAACGUCGCAGGUCGGUUCGAUUACAAAACGUCGACAUUAU
Molecule: RNA transcript, 2280 nt
Organism: Megalopta genalis
Lineage: Eukaryota; Metazoa; Arthropoda; Insecta; Hymenoptera; Halictidae
Gene: ste14
Gene name: isoprenylcysteine carboxylmethyltransferase ste14
Source: RefSeq, a predicted model, not a curated record